This 256-nucleotide ribosomal RNA is filed under the name uncultured bacterium. Its description in RNAcentral is "partial 16S ribosomal RNA". It matches the Rfam family "Bacterial small subunit ribosomal RNA", at positions 524 to 777 of the family's 1533-position model. The record is from RNAcentral.
UACGGAGGGUGCGAGCGUUUGUCCGGAUUUAUUGGGUUUAAAGGGUGCGUAGGCGGCUCUUUAAGUCUGGGGUGAAAGCCCGUUGCUCAACAACGGAACUGCCCUGGAAACUGAAGAGCUUGAGUACAGACGAGGGUGGCGGAAUGGAUACUGUAGCGGUGAAAUGCAUAGAUAGUAUCCAGAACCCCGAUUGCGAAGCAGCUGCCUAGACUGUAACUGACGUGGAGGCACGAAAAGCGUGGGGGAGCGAACAGGA